AUCGGUCUUUAUUCAAACAAAAAAGUUCAAUUAAUCCCUAGCACAAAGAUUUACUCAAACAUAAAGCAUAAUUUCUUCCAGCUCUCUUCUUUCAACAACCAUUAAUCGAUUUGCAAUUCAAAACUUCAGAUAGUUCAAUUUCAAAUUUGUGUGGUCUCCUGUUGUUUCAAAUCCAGAAUUUCGACUUCGUUGCGGUAGUUGUUCGCUCUCGUGUUUCACUUUUCUCUCUGUGUGUGAUAGUCCAAGUUCAAGAUUGUGUAGUCUCCUGUUGUUUCAAAUCCAAAUUUCGACUUCGUUGCGGUAGUUGUUCGCUCCCGUGUUUCACUUUUCUGUCGGUAUAUGAAUUUUGACUUCGUUGCGGUGGUUAUUUGCUCCUUUGUUUCACUUGUCUCUCGGCGUGUGAUUGAAUUUGGACACGUUGUAAACAAGGUCACAUUAUUGGACGUGUAGUGACAUGUCAUCCAACCGAAGGAAAAGAUACUAUCUUAGACUAUUGUUAAUGAAUGUAAGGGGGCCAAAAUCAUAUGAAGAUCUGCGAAGUGUAAAUGGAGUACAAUAUAAUUCAUUUAGAGAAGCUGCUUAAAAACGAGAACUAUUACUUUGUGAUAAUAAUUUGGUAGAAUGCAUGUCUGUAGCUGCAAGUUAUCAAAUGUCAUCCAGUUUAAGACAAUUAUUUGCUAUGUUAUUUAUUUAUUGUAAUCCAACAAAUCCUAGAGAAUCAUGGGAGAGAUUUGAAAGUC
Solanum pennellii is the source of this 740-nucleotide long non-coding RNA. RefSeq lists it as uncharacterized. The transcript has 7 exons. The record is from RefSeq and is a predicted model, not a curated record. Lineage: Eukaryota; Viridiplantae; Streptophyta; Magnoliopsida; Solanales; Solanaceae.